RNAcentral lists this ribosomal RNA (356 nucleotides) under Salmonella enterica subsp. salamae serovar 47:a:1,5. Its description in RNAcentral is "partial 23S ribosomal RNA". It matches the Rfam family "Bacterial large subunit ribosomal RNA", at positions 917 to 1269 of the family's 2925-position model. Lineage: Bacteria; Pseudomonadati; Pseudomonadota; Gammaproteobacteria; Enterobacterales; Enterobacteriaceae. The record is from RNAcentral.
GGCUAGGGGGCCAUCCCGGCUUACCAACCCGAUGCAAACUGCGAAUACCGGAGAAUGUUAUCACGGGAGACACACGGCGGGUGCUAACGUCCGUCGUGAAGAGGGAAACAACCCAGACCGCCAGCUAAGGUCCCAAAGUCAUGGUUAAGUGGGAAACGAUGUGGGAAGGCCCAGACAGCCAGGAUGUUGGCUUAGAAGCAGCCAUCAUUUAAAGAAAGCGUAAUAGCUCACUGGUCGAGUCGGCCUGCGCGGAAGAUGUAACGGGGCUAAACCAUGCACCGAAGCUGCGGCAGCGACGCUUAUGCGUUGUUGGGUAGGGGAGCGUUCUGUAAGCCUGCGAAGGUGGCCUGUGAGGG